CUCCAAGAAGGCCGUCACCAAAG
Molecule: non-coding RNA, 23 nt
Filed under: Cricetulus griseus (Chinese hamster)
Lineage: Eukaryota; Metazoa; Chordata; Mammalia; Rodentia; Cricetidae
Source: RNAcentral